UGAGCCCUGGAGGACAGGAGGAAGCCAGAGUUCUCUGAACAGCUUUCUCACAGUGGAAGUCACAGUGACCCUUCCAUCCCGAGCAGGCUGCGAAAACUACCUCGGCCCAGCAAUGAAGAGCCAGGAGGGAGUGCCCGUACGGCCAUAUGAGGAACAGAGAGACCAAACAGGGAAAGUUACAACUCAGGUUCAUCUUCCUGAAUGGGAUACAACCGUGUAAAGAACAAGUAAAACAUGGAGUCUGACUAUGUUGUCUCUACUGCCCAGGCUAACUCAAACUGAUUUUCCUGCUCCAGCCUCCCGAGUGUAUAGGACUACAGGUGUGCACCACCAGGCCCAGCCACAUUCUUAAGGAAGUCAAAAUUGAAACUGAACAUGUCACACAGGGCCAAGGAUGGGAAGCCUCAGCUCCCCACGCAGCAGCCAUUGAAGUGGCAGCUGGUGAAGAGGGUGGUCUGCAUGCUGCUAGAGGCCCCUAAGGGAGAAGCCAGUGGAGACCCACCACGUCUUCUAUGUCAACGGACCGACUUUUGCUGUUUUAGAAUAUAAGUUCUUCCCCUCUAAAUAAUCUGGCCUUAAAACAAAACCAGAAAGCUACUGGCUGUGGAGACAGCCACCACCGGGGACGAUUGUUAGCAGCUCCCAAAUGCUUUAACAGUUAAGAGCAGCUGUAGCAAAGCAACUGUUUGUCGCUUAUAAAAACAAACCAAAUCAAGAUGGAAAAACAAAAAGCUCAGCUUUUCCACACCACAUGUGACUACAGGAUGUUUCUGAUGCGGUUGCAGCCAAGCCACGUAUGCCUGCAAGAGGAGGUGAACUGGAGCCUUUUCCCAAUAAUCUUUCCUCUCAACUGAAGCAUGAAGGUGGGAGAUCAUUUCACCACACCCAAAGGCACUCACCUUCCGAGUACAAAGGACUCCAGUGGUCUUCAUAUACGAAUACACAGCAUGUAGCUUCAAAUUAUACCGACAUAUGUUUGGCUAUAAAGGUUAACACAUCUUUCUUUCAAAACUGUUCUUAGCUUAGAAAAUGGGAGUCAGAAGUUACUUAUACAGAAAGCUCUGGAACAUAGCAUUGUAAAAACAGGAGAUUCACACAUAAAAAAUCCUAAUUGAAGGUAAUUCUGCUUUGAGGUCUUUGGUUAUAUUAAACACCAUCUUACGAUUUCAUGUGCUAACUUCCUUCAGAAAGAGUUAUGAUAG
This is a long non-coding RNA of Peromyscus leucopus (white-footed mouse), 1202 nucleotides long. RefSeq lists it as uncharacterized. Lineage: Eukaryota; Metazoa; Chordata; Mammalia; Rodentia; Cricetidae. The record is from RefSeq and is a predicted model, not a curated record. The transcript is spliced from 3 exons.